This 435-nucleotide ribosomal RNA is filed under the name Triticum aestivum (bread wheat). Its description in RNAcentral is "partial small subunit ribosomal RNA". The record is from RNAcentral. Lineage: Eukaryota; Viridiplantae; Streptophyta; Magnoliopsida; Poales; Poaceae.
AUGUCCCUCCGCAUCGGUAAAAAUCCGAUUUUCCCCCUCCGGCUCUUCGAUCUGCAGCGGUCAUGCUCAGUCUGCGGCGGAGACUACCAAUACGGCGCGACAGAGCUACUUCUGCCGGUCGCCUGCACGGGGCUGCUGCUGCUUGUCGUCAGGCAUAUGAUGUGCACCCUUGGUCGCCCGGUCCGACGAACUGCUAACGAAACAACGCCCAACGUCAUGAGUGUGCUCACGUUCUGCAAUCAAGCAACCGCCCUUCUCCGUUCUCCUCCAGCAAGAGUGCAGAGGAGGAGCAGCAACAACAACACGGGCACGGGAGAAGCAGGCGACAGGGGAGAAUCACGGGAGACAGCAGAGCUCCACCAGCAGGAGCUCGAGGAGAAGCAGCAGUGGGAGCUCGGGAAGAAGCAGCAACCGGAGCUCAAGGAGAAGCAAUAG